CUCUACCGGCUUAUAAGCUCUGCUCCUCGCAGUCUCCAGUGCCAGAACGUCUCGAGCCUUACGGUGAGAACUUCCAGCCAUCUUCCUGAGAAUCUGUCUGCCUGUCUGCCUGUCGACCUGUUUUGCCCUUGUUUUUUGAGCCAGCCUGAGCCCUUUUGGAUUUGUCUGCCUGCCUGAGUCCUGUUCGUCAGCCUCAGAGAUUUGGACUGCCCUCCUGUGUUUCGGACCCUGCCAGCCUGUGAGUUACGGAGAUUGCUUGCCCCUUUUUGUCUGUUGUGCUUCUGGAUUGGAUUUGGAUUUGGAUUGGAUCUGGACCUGGACCCGUUCUCUGGAUUCUCCCUUGGAUACCUCUGCUGGAUAAAACGGAUCUCCCCCCUGCCCAAGACCCGGACUGGACCUGGAUAAAGAAUUGGAUAACCCCUUCACGGACUCUGCUGCUUCCUGUAAACCAGACGCUGCUAAACCAGCCGUCCUCGUGCCCCAGGAACCGCCAGAGGCUGUGUGCUGCCGCACAAACCAGGGGGGUCCGCGCCGCCACCAUCUUUAAUAAACUGUUAAAGUUUUA
Molecule: long non-coding RNA, 565 nt
Organism: Fundulus heteroclitus (mummichog)
Lineage: Eukaryota; Metazoa; Chordata; Actinopteri; Cyprinodontiformes; Fundulidae
Exons: 2
Source: RefSeq, a predicted model, not a curated record